AGCCCACAGAGUUCUGCAAGAAAUGCCUCUUCAGGCCAAGGAGAGGCAGUAGAGAAUAACUGGAGACGUGAGUGCUGAUUUUCAUAAUUUGGGUGUGUUCUGUACAUUUUUAAUCCGUUUGCAACAAAUUGCAAUGCUUUCUCGGGAUGGUUUCCUGACAUUUUUACAUUAAUAUUAAUUGGCCCCCACGAUUAAAUCCGGGAGGGGACUGUGGAUCUGUCUCCAUCCUUUCGUUUAUAUGUUCAUUUUAAUCACAUGCGAUUUCUCAGAAAGCACUGGGCCGAUUUGAACGAAACUUGGGUGAAUAAUGAGUCUUGCCAUAGAGAGCAGGCAUUUACAAAAUUACUCUGAUUGGCCAGAUGGUGGCUAUAAUAAGAGAUUGAAAAUGCACAUUUCGAAGGUCACGCUCCUCACCCUGUUUGACCUAAAGUCAUGAAAUUCGGUACAUAGGCCCCUCUCCUCACAAGGAACACAUUUGCAUCAGUGACCCAUAAAGUCCGCCACGAUGGAUUUUCCGCAAUUUAGACUUUUGUGAAAAACACUUAAAAUGCUACUCUGCUGGCACCGAAUGGCCGAUCUGCACAAAACUUUACAUAUGGCAUUUAUUGACAAAUGUCUCUUAAUGCAAUAUUUUCCAGACUAGUACCGAAAACAACAUGGCCACUAUUGACCAAUAAACGUUCACCUAUGCAUGGCCUGGCACUUAAAUGCAUAUACAUCAGUCAAGGAUAUUCAUAUUGUAACACAAUUUGUUGCCCAUGCUGCAAACACUGUCAAGACUCAACAUAUGCAAGAACAUAGUGAUGGGUCGUCGCGAACGAGUCGGCUGUUGUAGGUGAGCGUUGGACACAAUUUGUUGCCCAUGCUGCAAACACUGUCAAGACUCAACAUAUGCAAGAACAUAGUGAUGGGUCGUCGCGAACGAGUCGGCUGUUGUAGGUGAGCGUUGGGAGCACGCUCGCACAUCAGAAGAGCCGAAACUAUUUAUAAAAAUAUACAAAAAAUAAGUUAUGAAUAAUCAAAAGAUUUAAAUGAAUAGAAUUAACUAAUUCAAAGAACGAAAAUAUAAAUAAAAUAAUAUAGGCCUAAAUUCUCAAGAGCACACACAUUCGUUAUGUCUGCUCAGACUAACAGCCUCACCUGUUGUUCCUGUCAAUCAGACACGCAGUGUCAACCAAUGAACCAAAGAUGCGCGAGGGAGGGCCGAGCCAACUCACUCACAGUCACACACUUAGAAGCCGAGGAGAGAGAGUAAGGAAGGACAGCUGUAAAAACAACAGCUGGAAAAUGAGUCGGAAGCACAGUAGCAUUUUAAUAAUGUAGACAAUGUUAGAGCAUAGUGUAGAAUUUGCCAAAACAAAAUCUCAUAUAAAGCUGGUUCUACGCACAACCUACACCGGCAUAUGCGAACUGUGCACCCAACUGUUAAGCUAGCUGUAGAGGAUCUUCAAGAAACUAGCGGGCCUGCUAGUGAUAGUGGCGGAGCCAACACCUCCACACGGGGAGAUGUAUCCACUCAGUCAAGUAGGCCUACUCCACGACACACAGCAACGCAGUCUUCUAUGGACCAGUUUAUGCCAAUGUCUGUAGCAAAACAAGGCCACAUUUAUAUUGCAUUGGCUAAAAUAAUUGCCACCGAUUUCCAGACAUUUUCGAAUGUGGAGGACAGAGGUUUUUAGAAAUUAUAGCAAUAGUCUAAAUCGAAUGAAUACAAUUCCAAGCCGGAAAACCCAUUCAAAAUCACUUGUUCCACAACUUUACGAGAGCACACAGGCGUCAGUGCGGGAAAGAGUCCAAAAAGCUACUGCAGUUUGCCUUACCAUUAACCACUUCUUACAUGUUGGUUACAUGUCACUUAAUUAAAGAUUUUUCGAUAUCUAGCUGUCUUCUGGACUGCUUUGAGUUCAGCGACAGACACACCUCAGAGAACUGUUGAGAGGAACUGAGGAACUGUUUAGAGUGUCCAGGGAAUGGCAAGUAUAUGGAAAAGUGGUAUAUUGUGUUAGCGACAAUGCAGCUAACAUAACCAAAGCCAUGAACAUUUUUAAAUGUACCCAUCAUCCAUGUCUUGCCCACACAAUCAGCCUGAUUGUAAGAGAUGCUCUGAAGGUGACGGACAAAGUGUGGACAAAGUGAAAGCAUCUGUGGAAUACUUCCACUGGAGCACAGUAGGUACUGAAAAACUCAAGUUUACACAAAGCCAGAUGGGAUUGCCUGAGCUGAGGCCUAAACCAGACUGCACAACAAGGUGGAAUUCAACAUUUUAUAUGUUGAAGCGGUUUCUUGAGUCAAAGGAUGCCAUCAUCUCUACCCUGGCCAUUGUCAGGGUAGAGAUGUGCACUUGUUGAUGCUCUGACCCAAGAGGAAAGGGAUGUGGUGGAGUCCUGGAACCCUUUGGCAGGUCACUGUGGAGAUCAGUGGAGAGAGCUAUAUGACAGCCUGAAAAAUGAUACUCCUGUGUAAGGGUCUGCAGCGAAUCACAGCCAACCGCUAGAGAGAAGCAAAUGUAACCACAGGACAUGUGACAGUGUUGAUGGACACCCUGUGUUCAUCAAUGGACAGGAAGUUCCACAGAAUGGAAUAUAAUCACGUGCUAUCAGAAACCACUGCACUUCACCCCAGGUUUAAGAAGUUAGCUUUCAGUGAUGCCAGAGCAAUUGAUGAGGUUCUUCAAAGAAUAACCUCAGCAGCAGGGAGGGACAGCCUCAGCAGUCAGCUGGCUCAGGCGCCAGGGCAACAGGAAGAAGAGGGAUCAGAUGGAGCAGAAGCACCAGCAGUAGUACCACAAACGUCUGCUGUUUGGAUGUUGUUUGACGAAAGAGCAACUGGGGAUGUAGCACGAAGGAAUCCCUCAGCAGAUGCCAUUUUAUAAAUUUUUAUUUCACCUUUAUUUAACCAGGUAGGCCAGUUGAGAACAAGUUCUCAUUUACAACUGCGACCUGGCCAAGAUAAAGCAAAGCAGUGCGACAAAAACAACAACACAAGAGUUACACAUAAACAAACGUACAGUCAAUAACACAAUAGAAAAUUGUACAGAGUGUGCAAAUGUAGAAGAGUAGGGAGGUGUCACGCCCUGGCCAUAGAGAGGCUUUUAUUCUCUAUUUUGGUUAGGCCAGGGUGUGACUAAGGGUGGGCAUUCUAGUUUCUUUAUUUCUAUGUUCUCUAUUUCUUUGUGUUUGGCCGGGUGUGGUUCUCAAUCAGAGGCAGCUGUCUAUCGUUGUCUCUGAUUGAGAACCAUACUUAGGUAGCUCUUUUUCCAUCUGUCUUUGUGGGAAGUUGACUUUGUUUAGGGCACAUAGCCUUUGAGGAGCAUGGGUUGUGGUUGUAGUGUUAUUUGUUUUGUUCUGCGUCAUUUUGAUUAAUAAACGAAAAUGUACACUCAC
This is a long non-coding RNA of Oncorhynchus nerka (sockeye salmon), 3383 nucleotides long. RefSeq lists it as uncharacterized. The transcript is spliced from 2 exons. The record is from RefSeq and is a predicted model, not a curated record. NCBI's taxonomy places the organism in Eukaryota, Metazoa, Chordata, Actinopteri, Salmoniformes, Salmonidae.